UGGUGUGCUGAGCCCUGUACUAUUGGGAUAUUUUGGGAGGACAUUGGGUCACCCCAGGGUGAAAUCAUGGGGAAAUUCGUUAUCGGUGCAGGAGCAGGGUGCUGGGAAUCCCUUCACAAAUCGGCAUGGUGAAGGGAAAGGUGCCUCGUGGAGCAUUCAGCGUGCCCUUUGCCGUGCAGGCUUUCAGAAUGCAGUCACAGAGGGAUCGAUAGAUGUUUCUGCUUUCAGCAGGGUCUCCCAUGGAUCCUCCUCCUGGUUCAAUGCCACUUAAUCCCUUGAUGAGAUGUCGUCGCUGUGGUGGCUAUUGGCUCGUUACCCGGCCUGGUGGUAGGCCCGCGGCCUUGUCCCAGCCAACGCAGAGGGGAAACCUUCCCUUCUGAAACAUUUGCAUGACUUUUCUGCCUGAGCAUGGAACACUGAAAUGGGUGAAUUUCCAUGAAGAGCGGUGUUGUGCUGGCUGUCCAUCACUGCCCAGGCUCUGUUUGAGCCAGUGGAGCAGCCCGAAGGGACCACAGCUGCUUUGCUCUACGCGUCUCCGGCACCGGUGUCUGCUCGCUGGGAUGAGUUCAUCAGUAACGUUGCGCCUGGAGAGCAGUGUCGUGCCGUGACGCAUCACGGCGCUGGCCAGCGUGCGCUCAGGUUGAGUCAUUUGGGGAAAAAAUGAUGGUAAUAAUCAGCUGUUCACAGGUCAUGGUUUCCUCGGUGUCUGAGCAGUUCAUCUGUCUGCUGCGGGCUGGCUCUUCUGGAUGGAUUACAGAUGAGCAGAGGUUCUCUGCUCCUCUCUGGUGCUCCGCAUUUAUGUGGCCAUCUCAAUCCCAUCUAUUUAUACUUUCAUUUCAAGGGGCAAUAACCUCUCUGCUGAACAAUAGCAUACCGAAAGUUCCUGCUAGUAUUUUAUAACUCCCAGCACCUUCAGCUGCGUCGUCUUUGGCCUCGUUCUUUCUCUUCUCCAUUCAACGUCAGCCCAGGCUCCGGGGUCAAUCCUUUUUUCCCCUUGUUCCGGCGUCUCUCAGCCGGGGGAGCCUGUCCUGGGGUUGUGCAAUUCAUCCUGAUUGCUUUCUCUGAAUAAGUCCCUCUGUAAUUCACUGCAGUUAGAGCGUGCUGUUUGCCUGUUCUGCCUCAGUCCUUCCUCCAAUUGCUUCAGAAGCCUCUGCCCCAGGAGUUUCUGCACCAAACCCAUGGUCUGCUCUCACCUGGCACUGUGUGAGGUUGGUUGUGCCAUGCUUGGUGAGGAAAAAUCAUGAGAUUUGUCUGGGAUGCUCUCUGGGAAGGGACAGUCCCUGCUUGCGCAUCUGUGGGAGCAUCCAGGGCGAUGCUGGCCAUCCUGCAAGGGCAGGCAGAGCUGCAGGGUGAUGACAGGGGGAAAGGUGGAGGUGGGACAAGCUGCCCACCACUGAUUCCUCCUCUUCCCACCGAGUUUGGAAGCGCUCGAAGGCCUUUGACGAUAGCAACCAACUCGCUGCUUGUUCGGGUGAUUUCUUUAGGCGUGCCCUGCCUCCAAAAUCAGGAGGAAGCCUCUUAUUUUCCUCUGCUGUGGGAUGUUUAUAGACUCCCUGCUGCCAUCAGGAUUUUAGUCCACUCCAGGGUUUCAGAAACUUGCUGACACAGGGCUUUGGCUGUGCUGGCACGUUUAUUGCCAUAUCAAACCCUCCCGUGCCUGAUCUCACCAGCAUUUAUCCGUGCUUUUCGUCCCCACUGCGUGUGAUGACAGCGUCUCAUUUUCUUUCCGUAUUCUGUUCUGAGAUGUUUUUGCUUGAGCCCACUUUGUCAGCUCUGCAUUUCUUUGAGUUUCUGCUGACCCUAGUAAGAGUUAUGCAUGCUUUAUCACAUCCCUUUUUAUUUAUCUGCAUUCUUUUGCUUUGUACCGGAGCCAGAAGGGCCUCGGAGUUGACGUUGCUGAGUUCCCCAGCUGCAUGCACUGUACACCCUGUGCCUUUGUGCAUGUUCAUGCAAAAUUACUUUCUGUCCUACUUGGGGCAACAUCCCCGGCUGUCAUCGAGCUCCGCGUGAUGCGAUCCGCGCCCGUUGCAAAGCCUCUGCUAGGGGCUGCAGGUGGCUUUCCGUGUGUGCGCCUCUAUCUGCUAGCCAUAUCUUUGUUUUUAUCACCCACACUGGCAGGCUGUAAUGACUGCUUUUAUCUCUCCUCUUGGCAAUCUCAGAUGGUCUGGUUCCUCAGACUGCUUUUUGCAAAUGCUAACUUCUACCUUUAGCGGUUCUCCUUUUUGCGGUUCAUCUGGUCGAGAUUAGACCGGGUGCUGAAAGAUGUGCAUCUUGCAGGGACUUUCAUUACCAGCUUGAUGGAGUUUCUCACUGCUCGCUUAAUCCAGAGCCUUGUGACUCCUCUCCGAAAACUUUCCUGUGCCGGGUGGACACAUGGGCUGGAGGCAGGAGGGCUGUACGUUUAGGGUCGGGGGGGAGGUGUCAGAGAACAGUCUCUGUGGUUUUCUUGUAAUUUCUCAGUCCACACAGCCAAAGGUAUGUGGGGAACAAAAACCAAGGUCUCUGCAAGUGUGAAAUUGUGGGUGCUAGGUUGCGCUGGGUCACACAAGCAGCACUCCUGCUCAUGCACCCACUGCAUCCAGUUCCAAGCAGCUUUUUUAGGUCCAAGUCCAUGGAGGUUCCCCUCUCCUCACGCUCUGUGCUCAGCACGGGAUUUGGGGUUGCUCCAUGGCUCCCCACCACCAGGACUGGCAGUGCACGUGGAGUGCUGGGGUUGAUGAAACACGCUUUUGCUCAGUGAGGAUUUCCAAGCAUGCCGUGUCUCUCUCUGGCCAUUCAGGAUGCAGGCAGAGCCUGGAGCAUCAGCAGAGUCAUUUUAGGGGGGUGCUGAAGUUAUGACCUGGCUGUGCAUCGAUACAAACCCCUCCUCACAGGAGCUGCUCCCAGGACCACGAAGGGAUGCUCCCCAGUGCUUGGGGCAUCCCUGUGGAGAUGCCACCACAGCUGCCCCUUACACCACCCCUUCCUGAGGGCCAGGAUGCCCUCCCACCCUCCCCACCUGCAUCCCCAUCCCAGGGGCGCAUCGCUGCGAGCACCGAGCCCCCUGCAAGGAUGCUGUACCUGGGGUCAGCGGCGUGGUCCAGCCGGGGGGGUUGUUGCCAAGCAACCCGUCUCCCCCCGCCGGGUUUCCAUGGUGAUGGCGAUGCUGCCGAGGCAGGGCUGGGAGCCAGGCAGAUGCUGAAUUUCACAAAGCUGCACCCCUGCCCCAAAGCUCGGCGCGAGCCUGCAGGCACGGGGCUGCAAGCGGCGCAGGAGCUCCUGCAGCCAAAAGUGGGGCAGGAGCUGGGUGCUCCGUGGGGAGGCAGCGGGUGGGCGCACGUGGGUACGUGAGGGGACCUUGGCAGCCCGUCAGACCCCUGGGAGCAGGGCUGAAGAAAGCCAGGCUCGAAAGCUCGGAGCUUCACUGAGUGUUAUUGGUGCCUUUGGAUGUGGAGCAGGGGUAAGCGAAGGCAAAAGGACAAGCCCACAGGGCAGAGCCGUGCCCGAAUUCUGCAGAGCACGGAUCCCGCAGGCUCUCCCUGUCUCCUGACACCAGCCCACCUCUCAUUCAUAAUUCCUGGGGUCCCCUUGCUCACAACAGGCGCUGGUCUCUGCCAGGAAACCUUCCUAGGAUGAGCCCACACGGGGGAGGGACCCCCAAGACUCAUCCUCCAGCCUGCACCCUGCUUCUGCUGCUCCCUGGCAGCCUCCACUGCUGGCUAGCACGGGGCAUGGAGCAGCAUCCAAAGCUGCUCAGCGUUACUGGGUGCUUAGGACAGCUUUGGCUGCUCCACAGACAGCUUUUUCAGGCCGUGAAAUCCAUUCUGGUGCAGGGCCCCGUGGGAGUCUGCUUGGAGCAGGCAAAAGGAAAUUGGAGAUCCCAGACAGGCGGCGAGGAUGGGAGCAGGAGGAAAGGAGGAGCUGGUGCUCUGAGCUAGGGGCGCCCGGCUCUGAGAACAGUCCCUGCUCUUUCUGGUCGAGGAAAAGCUGGGUUCACCCUCCUGAUCCCAUUA
This is a non-coding RNA of Anas platyrhynchos (mallard), 3992 nucleotides long. The record is from RefSeq and is a predicted model, not a curated record. Lineage: Eukaryota; Metazoa; Chordata; Aves; Anseriformes; Anatidae.